This is a non-coding RNA of Paramuricea clavata, 208 nucleotides long. The record is from the annotation of a GenBank genome assembly. Lineage: Eukaryota; Metazoa; Cnidaria; Anthozoa; Malacalcyonacea; Plexauridae.
GUCCAACCGCCUACCUGGCAAACAGCCGUGUCAAAAUAUACUAAUUAAAAUUCUAGUUAUACCAAUUGAUAAGAAGCUAUUGAAUAGAGUACAAAAGAGAUUAGAAACUAAUCAACCGUGCUUAAUUGUCUGAAUAAUGUUAAAUUAUUUAGACUUAAAUUAUAGUCCAAACGUAAAGAAUUAAAAUGUUUGUCCAUUGUAUUUUGAC